This is a non-coding RNA of Danio aesculapii, 85 nucleotides long. The record is from the annotation of a RefSeq genome assembly. NCBI's taxonomy places the organism in Eukaryota, Metazoa, Chordata, Actinopteri, Cypriniformes, Danionidae.
GGUCAGAAUGGCCGAGUGGUCUAAGGCGCUAGACUCAAGUUCUAGUCUCUAGAUGGAGGUGUGGGUUCAAGUCCCACUUCUGCCA